GCAUCCGCAGAUAAACAGAAAGGUGUGCCAGUGAAACAGAACACAGCUGUAAAUUCCAGCUCCAGAAACCACUCGGCUACGGAAGUGGGACCCAUGGCAGCCGAGACCUCCCAGUCAACAGAAUCAUCGAUGUGGAUCUUGUAACUGGCUCGGCGCCCGGGCGGGAUGGUGGCAUAGCGGGGGCACAGGCUGGCCCUGGGAGGUCACAGGCCAGUGGUGGGCCUCCUACGUCAGACCUCCCUGGCUUGGGCCCCGUCCCGGGUGAGCCUGCUAAGCCCAAGACCAGCGCACACCACGCCACCUUCGUCUGAGCUGCCCUGGCCUGGCCAACUCUCCUGUGGACAUGUCGGGGUGGGGCAGCCCAGGUGGAUUCUGUGGGCCUCAGAGGGGCCACCCUGGCCACCACACCCUCAGGAGCCCAGCCAGGAGGGCAGGGGGUGACCUCGCUGGAGGCACUGGCCCCGGACAUUCACCAUGCUGGCCAUGGGGCUCCCUGGCCCUGGCCUCCUGCUGCCCAAUAAAGCAUUUCUGAGGACCCAA
Molecule: small RNA, 540 nt
Filed under: Pan troglodytes (chimpanzee)
Lineage: Eukaryota; Metazoa; Chordata; Mammalia; Primates; Hominidae
Description: processed transcript
Source: RNAcentral